CCUACGGGUGGCAGCAGUGGGGAAUAUUGGACAAUGGGCGAAAGCCUGAUCCAGCCAUGCCGCGUGUGUGAAGAAGGCCUUCGGGUUGUAAAGCACUUUCAGUGGGGAAGAAAGCCUUGGGGCUAAUACCCUCGAGGAAGGACAUCACCCACAGAAGAAGCACCGGCUAACUCCGUGCCAGCAGCCGCGGUAAUACGGAGGGUGCGAGCGUUAAUCGGAAUUACUGGGCGUAAAGCGCGCGUAGGCGGUCUGAUAAGCCGGUUGUGAAAGCCCCGGGCUCAACCUGGGAACGGCAUCCGGAACUGUCAGGCUAGAGUGCAGGAGAGGAAGGUAGAAUUCCCGGUGUAGCGGUGAAAUGCGUAGAGAUCGGGAGGAACACCAGUGGCGAAGGCGGCCUUCUGGACUGACACUGACGCUGAGGUGCGAAAGCGUGGGUAGCAAACAGGAUUAGAUACCCGGGUAGUC
RNAcentral lists this ribosomal RNA (465 nucleotides) under Vreelandella stevensii. Its description in RNAcentral is "partial 16S ribosomal RNA". It matches the Rfam family "Bacterial small subunit ribosomal RNA", at positions 338 to 795 of the family's 1533-position model. The record is from RNAcentral. Lineage: Bacteria; Pseudomonadati; Pseudomonadota; Gammaproteobacteria; Oceanospirillales; Halomonadaceae.